UAUUGCUAACAUUACUUGCUUCGCGCCAGCCUCAGAUCAUUAGCAAAGAGCACUGGGGACAAAAGUGAUACUUGGAUUGCUAAGUAUAUCCUUUACACAUUUAAAUUGGACACAAUUUGAGAUAAUACUUAGGUUUUGGAUGGAUAAUGGCACAAGAUCCACAAGGAAACUGAAAUUGUCCAAUGCAAGGUUUCAAAUGGAUAAUGGCACAAGAUCCACAAGGAAACUGAAAUGUAAGGUUUCAAAUGGAUAAUGGCACAAGAUCCACAAGGAAACUGAAAUGUCCAAUGCAAGGUUUCAAAUGGAUAAUGGCACAAGAUCCACAAGGAAACUGAAAUGUCGCAUUCAAUGCGACGAAGAGAACACUUGGGUGCAUCAAUACUGAUCAUUCUC
Molecule: long non-coding RNA, 393 nt
Filed under: Musa acuminata (dwarf banana)
Lineage: Eukaryota; Viridiplantae; Streptophyta; Magnoliopsida; Zingiberales; Musaceae
Description: long non-coding RNA (MACU_LNC004951)
Source: RNAcentral